This 468-nucleotide ribosomal RNA is filed under the name uncultured bacterium. Its description in RNAcentral is "partial 16S ribosomal RNA". It matches the Rfam family "Bacterial small subunit ribosomal RNA", at positions 28 to 507 of the family's 1533-position model. The record is from RNAcentral.
GACGAACGCUGGCGGCGUGCCUAACACAUGCAAGUCGAACGGAAAGGCCCUGCUCUUGUGGGGUGCUCGAGUGGCGAACGGGUGAGUAACACGUGAGUAACCUGCCCUUGACUUUGGGAUAACUUCAGGGAACUGGGGCUAAUACCCGGUAGGAGCUCCUGCAGCAUGGUGGGGGUUGGAAAGUUUCGGCGGUUGGGGAUGGACUCGCGGCUUAUCAGCUUGUUGGUGGGGUAGUGGCUUACCAAGGCUUCGACGGGUAGGCGGCCUGAGAGGGUGACCGGCCACAUGGGGACUGAGAUACGGCCCAGACUCCUACGGGAGGCAGCAGUGGGGAAUAUUGCGCAAUGGGCGGAAGCCUGAUGCAGCAACGCCGCGUGCGGGAUGACGGCCUUCGGGUUGUAAACCGCUUUCGCCUGUGACGAAGCGUGAGUGACGGUAAUGGGUAAAGAAGCACCGGCUAACUACGUG